Long non-coding RNA from Chinchilla lanigera (long-tailed chinchilla), 436 nucleotides. RefSeq lists it as uncharacterized. NCBI's taxonomy places the organism in Eukaryota, Metazoa, Chordata, Mammalia, Rodentia, Chinchillidae. The transcript has 2 exons. The record is from RefSeq and is a predicted model, not a curated record.
GUCCGCAAAGGCGCUGUCGGAUGACGUCAUGGACCAGCGGCACUUGCGUGACGUAGGCUCUGCCUGAGUAGAUUGGACGCCGCAGACCCGCAGAUCCCGCAGACGAUUCGUCCACAUCAUCUUUCUUCCCUGCCCUGCGUUUCCUAUUGUUGCCACAGUGCCACCCUCCAGUCUGAACAUGCUGUUUUGCUCACAAAUUGCUGUGGCCAGCAAGCUGUUUCUUGCAUACCGUCUCCUUCCCAACCCUGCGCGCCUACGGAGUCGUGCAAAGGAGAGAUCAGCAGCCCUGCUGUUGAGUGUUGGUUCUUGAGCAAGGAGAACCAGGCCUGGAGCUCGGCUCUGACGCAAGGACCGGCUUCUGUUGAUUGCUUGUGGGGCUUAGCGUUAGCCAGGAUCCAGUUGAUCUUGCUAAAUAAAUGACUUCUAGGAAAGCGAA